GACGAACGCUGGCGGCGUGCUUAACACAUGCAAGUGGAGCGACGAACCGGGGCUUGCCCCGGGGCAGAGCCGCGAACGGGUGAGUAACACGUGGGUAACCCACCCGAUGACCGGGACAACCCGAGGAAACUCGGGCUAAUACCGGAUGUGCUCCUUGACCUCGAGGUCAAGGCGUAAAGAUAGCUUCGGCCUUCGCAUCGGGACGGGCCCGCGGCCCAUUAGCUUGUUGGUGGGGUAAAGGCCUACCAAGGAGACGAUGGGUAGCUGGUCUGAGAGGACGAUCAGCCACACUGGGACUGAGACACGGCCCAGACUCCUACGGGAGGCAGCAGUGGGGAAUCUUGCGCAAUGCGCGAAAGCGUGACGCAGCAACGCCGCGUGGGGAAGA
Molecule: ribosomal RNA, 388 nt
Filed under: uncultured bacterium
Lineage: Bacteria
Description: bacterial SSU rRNA
Rfam family: Bacterial small subunit ribosomal RNA
Source: RNAcentral